UACCUGCAAAUAUAUUUCAGAUAUAAGCAACUAAAUCCACAGAUCGAUAAGCUUGAUAUAGUGAGACCAUUCGUAGACUACACUGCAAAAUUUUGAAUGGCGCAAGGCGCAACGUUGUACUCUGUGUUGGAAGGCCUUGGUAUAACAACUUCAGGUGGCAGUGACUUUAGUUUUGAAGGAAGAGGACCAUUUGUCAACCACUCAUGAUAACCUUAGAAAAACUUUUACCUUUUUUUUUUUUAACUGAAGUGGUGCCAAGUCUUUGAGGCAAUUGAGUGAUCAAUGACUCAGAGCAACAUGUUCCCCAUGGAGCACUUUUCGGGACCACUGAGAUAUGAAAUUUGUAAGCAUCCCUUUUGUUCCCUUUCGCACUGAAAAAUUUGCUGACAUGAUCUUUAUAGUUUAGAUUUUGUGUUUCUGACUAAAUAUCACAAGCUGCUGUUCUCUUGCCCAGAUUUCAGCUCAUGAUGAAAAUUUGGAACUUCAAUGGCAAGAGUUAUUGAAGGUAUUUAUGUUCUUUGACUAAAAUCCUUACAAACUCUGGUUCAUAGUAGGAUUUAUGUGAUUUCAGAAUUGGUGGCCUUGCGCAUUUUCUUAGUUUCUACUCGAAAUUUGUAUUUAUUUUGUACGCUUAAUUAUCUAGGUAGUAAUUACUCUAGAAUGUGAACUAACAAUAACAGUAAAAUCUUGAUAACUAUAGACAACUGCUAAGUGCUAACAUUCAAAGAUGAUCAAGUGGAAGAAGAUUUGUUUCUUACCCAAAUGCUCCAAUUACUCGUGUCUCUUCAGCUGAUUGACCGUCUGCUUGCAGUCUCGCCAGACCAAAAUCUCCAACCUACAUACUACAGUUGUCAGAUUUUUGUUUUAAAGAAUAAGCGUUGAGAGGCUAAGAAGAAGUAAUAACUUCAGAAUUGAACUAACC
Molecule: long non-coding RNA, 922 nt
Filed under: Aquilegia coerulea
Lineage: Eukaryota; Viridiplantae; Streptophyta; Magnoliopsida; Ranunculales; Ranunculaceae
Description: long non-coding RNA (ACOE_LNC001634)
Source: RNAcentral